This 20-nucleotide unclassified non-coding RNA is filed under the name Dictyostelium discoideum. The record is from RNAcentral. Lineage: Eukaryota; Evosea; Eumycetozoa; Dictyosteliales; Dictyosteliaceae.
ACCGUAGCAAACUGCGAUAA